GAUGAACGCUGGCGGCGUGCCUAAUACAUGCAAGUCGAGCGAACAGACGAGGAGCUUGCUCCUCUGACGUUAGCGGCGGACGGGUGAGUAACACGUGGAUAACCUACCUAUAAGACUGGGAUAACUUCGGGAAACCGGAGCUAAUACCGGAUAAUAUAUUGAACCGCAUGGUUCAAUAGUGAAAGUCGGUUUUGCUGUCACUUAUAGAUGGAUCCGCGCCGCAUUAGCUAGUUGGUAAGGUAACGGCUUACCAAGGCAACGAUGCGUAGCCGACCUGAGAGGGUGAUCGGCCACACUGGAACUGAGACAUGGUCCAGACUCCUACGGGAGGCAGCAGUAGGGAAUCUUCCGCAAAGGGCGAAAGCCUGACGGAGCAACGCCGCGUGAGUGAUGAAGGUCUUCGGAUCGUAAAACUCUGUUAUUAGGGAAGAACAAAUGUGUAAGUAACUAUGCACGUCUUGACGGUACCUAAUCAGAAAGCCACGGCUAACUACGUG
RNAcentral lists this ribosomal RNA (497 nucleotides) under uncultured bacterium. RNAcentral's name for it is "partial 16S ribosomal RNA". It matches the Rfam family "Bacterial small subunit ribosomal RNA", at positions 28 to 507 of the family's 1533-position model. The record is from RNAcentral.